Molecule: ribosomal RNA, 264 nt
Filed under: uncultured bacterium
Lineage: Bacteria
Description: partial 16S ribosomal RNA
Rfam family: Bacterial small subunit ribosomal RNA
Source: RNAcentral
GUCCUGGCCGUAAACGGUGAACACUAGGUGUUGGAGGCAUCGACCCCUCCAGUGCCGCAGCUAACGCAUUAAGUGUUCCGCCUGGGGAGUACGACCGCAAGGUUGAAACUCAAAGGAAUUGACGGGGCCCGCACAAGCGGUGGAGCAUGUGGUUUAAUUCGACGCAACGCGAAAGAACCUUAACCGGGGUUUGACAUGCACGGGACAGGUGUGGAAACACACCCUCCCUUCGGGGUCCGUGCACAGGUGCUGCAUGGCUGUCGU